Molecule: ribosomal RNA, 275 nt
Filed under: uncultured bacterium
Lineage: Bacteria
Description: partial 16S ribosomal RNA
Rfam family: Bacterial small subunit ribosomal RNA
Source: RNAcentral
AGACGGAGGGCGCAAGCGUUGUUCGGAAUUACUGGGCGUAAAGGGCGGGCAGGCGGUUCGUUAAGUCGUUUGUGAAAAUCCGGGGCUCAACCCCGCGAAAUGCAAAUGAUUCUGGCGAGCUGGAGACCGGUAGAGGCUAGCGGAAUUCCUGGUGUAGCGGUGGAAUGCGUAGAUAUCAGGAAGAACACCUGUGGCGAAGGCGGCUAGCUGGGCCGGGUCUGACGCUGAACCGCGAAAGCGUGGGGAGCAAACAGGAUUAGAUACCCCGGUAGUCC